This 240-nucleotide ribosomal RNA is filed under the name uncultured bacterium. Its description in RNAcentral is "partial 16S ribosomal RNA". It matches the Rfam family "Bacterial small subunit ribosomal RNA", at positions 333 to 565 of the family's 1533-position model. The record is from RNAcentral.
AAUCGCCUACGGGGCGCAGCAGUAGGGAAUCUUCCACAAUGGGCGAAAGCCUGAUGGAGCAACGCCGCGUGGGUGAAGAAGGUCUUCGGAUCGUAAAACCCUGUUGUUAGAGAAGAAAGUGCGUGAGAGUAACUGUUCACGUUUCGACGGUAUCUAACCAGAAAGCCACGGCUAACUACGUGCCAGCAGCCGCGGUAAUACGGAGGUGGCAAGCGUUAUCCGGAUUUAUUGGGCGUAAAG